UCAGAGAAAAAUUGGCGGCCUUUGGAGGAAACGAUGAAAAAACCCGUUCUCACCUCCUACUGGAGGCAGCAGUGGGACUCCUACAGGAGGCAGGAAUGGGACCUUGGCUCACAACUAACGCUGGCGGCCACUCCUACUGGAGGCAGCAGAGGGACAGUUGGCUCAUAACGAACGCUGGCAGCCCACUCCUACGGGAGGCAACAAUGGGACCUUGGCUCAAAACGAACACUGGCGGCGUGGCUCAUAACAAACGCUGGCG
This 259-nucleotide unclassified non-coding RNA is filed under the name uncultured bacterium. RNAcentral describes it as "partial contains 16S ribosomal RNA and 16S-23S ribosomal RNA intergenic spacer region". The record is from RNAcentral.